Ixodes scapularis (black-legged tick) is the source of this 314-nucleotide long non-coding RNA. RefSeq lists it as uncharacterized. Lineage: Eukaryota; Metazoa; Arthropoda; Arachnida; Ixodida; Ixodidae. The record is from RefSeq and is a predicted model, not a curated record. The transcript is spliced from 3 exons.
CAGGUUUCGAUGUGCCGUUCAUGUGGAGCUGCUUCUGUAUCGGCGCUAUGGGGACCAUCUACACUGCUCUGGGAGGACUGAGGGGCGUCGUGUGGAUGGACUGCCUGCAGGCUGCAUUAACGCUGCUAGCGCCAGCCACUAUUAUAUCCAAGAUUGUUUACGACUCCUACCACGGGUCUGUUCCAUUGAGACCCUUGACCGACUUCGAUGUCAGGCCGUACAUCUUCAAAACCAGUCUAGAUUUGACGCAGGACGAAAAUGUGUGGAGCUGCUUUCUGGGUCUUCUUGCGAUGGCACUCUACAGUUCAUGCCUC